Molecule: ribosomal RNA, 123 nt
Filed under: Triticum aestivum (bread wheat)
Lineage: Eukaryota; Viridiplantae; Streptophyta; Magnoliopsida; Poales; Poaceae
Description: partial small subunit ribosomal RNA
Rfam family: U1 spliceosomal RNA
About the family: U1 is a small nuclear RNA (snRNA) component of the spliceosome (involved in pre-mRNA splicing). Its 5' end forms complementary base pairs with the 5' splice junction, thus defining the 5' donor site of an intron.
Source: RNAcentral
UACUUACCUGGACGGGGUCUAUGGCUGAUCAAGAAGAGCCCUGGCCUAGGCUAGUGGCCCAUAUUGCACUUUGUGGGUGUGCUGGCUUACCAUCUCCCCUUUGAGGGAGAGUGGACGUCAUAA